UCCGUAGGUGGAUCAAUCAGUCAGAGGUGAAAUCCUGCAGCUUAACUGUAGAACUGCCUUUGAUACUGUUGAUCUUGAGUCAUUAUGAAGUGGUUAGAAUGUGUAGUGUAGCGGUGAAAUGCAUAGAUAUUACACAGAAUACCGAUUGCGAAGGCAGAUCACUAAUAAUGUACUGACACUGAGGGACGAAAGCGUGGGGAGCGAACAAGAUUAGAUACCCUGGUAGUC
RNAcentral lists this ribosomal RNA (228 nucleotides) under uncultured bacterium. Its description in RNAcentral is "partial 16S ribosomal RNA". It matches the Rfam family "Bacterial small subunit ribosomal RNA", at positions 568 to 795 of the family's 1533-position model. The record is from RNAcentral.